CGCGUACCAAAAACACAGGUCUCCGCAAAGUCGUAAGACCAUGUAUGGGGGCUGAUGCCUGCCCAGUGCCGGAAGGUCAAGGAAGUUGGUGAACUGAUGACAAGUAAGCUGGCGACCGAAGCCCCGGUGAACGGCGGCCGUAGCUAUAACGGUCCUAAGGUAGCGAAAUUCUGAGAGGAGCGUUGGUGAUGACGAUGGUGAUGAUUUCCCCCUCCCGGAGGGAA
Triticum aestivum (bread wheat) is the source of this 224-nucleotide non-coding RNA. NCBI's taxonomy places the organism in Eukaryota, Viridiplantae, Streptophyta, Magnoliopsida, Poales, Poaceae. The record is from Rfam.